CAGCUCUGAUGAUUCAGUAAGGACAUCUCCUGGUUUCAUCUUCAUGUUUCCCUCUCACCAGAUAUCGGUUUGGAUAUCUGGUGAGAGGGAAACUGUGUGCUGACUGUGUGUUGACCAGCACCUUUACGGCUGUGACUCCAGCAAACGUCAGCUGAUACUAGAAAGUAAUAUUAAAUAAAUUAUAACAACAGCUUAUCAAGCUUAAACGUGCUGCUGUUGUUUAGCGCGACAUCCUCUGGUUUCGUCUUUCUGGGGCAAAGUGGGGGAUAAACAAACGAGAAAAGCCGAUCAGCUGAUCUUUGAUCAGUUUCAUGAUUGAAGUAGCAACAGAAGAUGGAGGGGGAGAGAGUGAGAGAAGAAGAGGCAGCUAUGCAGCGUAAAGACACAGAAUAACUCCAGCUUUGUGUCUUUUGUUUUUUGUUUUUGUUUUCUGAAGUUCGGGACAAAUCGCGUUCCUUUACACCUAGGCCCUGUUUCAGAAAGCCGGUUUAGUGCAAACUCUGAGUAAGUAUACCCUGAGUUAACGAAAACUCUGGGUUUUCGGUUUCACAAAGCGAGUUUAGAUUAAUUCUGAGUGAGUUACUAUGACGACACACUCCGUGAAGCUAACCUGCCCCCUAGCAGGUUUACUUCAACUAACCCUGAACUUCUCCGCCUCUUUGUCGGAAACCUGACUGUAGGAAGUGUCAGACAUGGUGCCCCUUCCUUGAAGAGCCAGUAGAUGUUGAAGCCCAAAUUCUCCGCAGAGCUCUCCGCCGGGAGAGAGUGAUUAGAGCGCGUUUGGACAUUUUAUCAUGUCCUGAUGAUUUUCUGUGUGAACGUUACCGUUUUUCAGCACAAUCGAUAAUUUAUUUGAAUAACAUCCUCAGGCCUUAUAUUGCUCAUGUGACACAUCGCGGACAUUCUCUCAGUUCUGUACAUAUUAUUUGUAUUGCACUUCGUUUUUUUGCAAACGGGAGCUUUCUGUAUAAUAUUGGUGACGCUGAGCACGUUUCCAAGGCUACCGUCUGUCGGGCAGUCAGGAAUGUUACAGUUGCACUGAAACGUCUCCUGUACUCGUUUGUGGUGUUCCCCGGUCAUAGACCCACAAGAUUUAUCAAAGAGGGAUUCCACAAAAUUGCAGGGUUCCCAGGCGUGAUUGGCUGUAUAGAUGGCACUCACAUUCCAUUCUGCUGCUUGAAGUGUUCCAUUUCCAAAAAGCAUUUUUUUAUUUUCUUGAUCAAACAGGUCUUGUACAGCUGCUGUACAGGGAGCUAUUGAAACACAGAAAAUAGCAUUGACAUUCAUAGUACA
This is a long non-coding RNA of Oreochromis niloticus (Nile tilapia), 1293 nucleotides long. RefSeq lists it as uncharacterized. Lineage: Eukaryota; Metazoa; Chordata; Actinopteri; Cichliformes; Cichlidae. The record is from RefSeq and is a predicted model, not a curated record. The transcript has 2 exons.